CCUACGGGAGGCAGCAGUGAGGAAUAUUGGUCAAUGGUCGGGAGACUGAACCAGCCAAGCCGCGUGAGGGAGGAAGGUACAGAGUAUCGUAAACCUCUUUUGUCAGGGAACAAAGGCGGGGACGUGUCCCCGGAUGAGUGUACCUGAAGAAAAAGCAUCGGCUAACUCGGUCCCAGCAGCCGCGGUAAUAGGGGGGAUGCGAGGGUUAUCGGGUUUUAUUGGGUUAAAGGGGUGGGUAGGCGGUUUGUUAAGUCAGCGGUCAAAGCCCGGGGCCAAACCCCGGCCCGCCGUUGAAACUGGCAGUCUCGAGUUGGAGAGAAGUAUGCGGAAUGCGCGGUGUAGCGGUGAAAUGCAUAGAUAUCGCGCAGAACUCCGAGUGCGAAGGCAGCAUGCCGGCUCCACACUGACGCUGAGGCACGAAAGCGUGGGUAGCGAACAGGAUUAGAUACCCGAGUAGUC
This 459-nucleotide ribosomal RNA is filed under the name uncultured bacterium. RNAcentral's name for it is "partial 16S ribosomal RNA". It matches the Rfam family "Bacterial small subunit ribosomal RNA", at positions 338 to 795 of the family's 1533-position model. The record is from RNAcentral.